CAUGGAAGAGGAAAUUGAAGAAGAAGUUGACAAGGUCCUGACUGCAAUUGCUGGUGAAACUACUGCACAAUUACCUGAAGCAGUCCGAAAGGAGAAGUUAAAGCAACCCGCCCAGGCAGUGGAGGAUGCAGAGGAUGACGAAGAAGAUCUAGAAGAACUAAGGGCACGUCUUGCUAAAGUUAGAUCCUAAGUGAUUUUUAAAAUUGACUCGCGCUGCCUCUAAGGCUUCGAUGUAAAAUAUGUUGUGUGUGAAACAAAGACCUCUUCUAUGGUCUGACGAGUUGCAUCUUCUAUCUGGAAGAGAGGAUAUUGAAGUACCUUCUAUAUCUUAGAAUCAAUACUCAUGAUUUCUUGUAUUGAUUAUCAAUGUGAGUUGUGAUCUUUUUCUCUUUGAGCAUGCUUUUCAUUGUAUGGUAACUGAAAAUCUAUGCUAAC
This 435-nucleotide unclassified non-coding RNA is filed under the name Hevea brasiliensis (rubber tree). The record is from RNAcentral. Lineage: Eukaryota; Viridiplantae; Streptophyta; Magnoliopsida; Malpighiales; Euphorbiaceae.